This 75-nucleotide antisense RNA is filed under the name Actinopolyspora erythraea. RNAcentral describes it as "Aspks sRNA". It matches the Rfam family "ASpks TB sRNA". The record is from RNAcentral. Lineage: Bacteria; Bacillati; Actinomycetota; Actinomycetes; Actinopolysporales; Actinopolysporaceae.
CUUGACCGAACCGAUCCACAGUGGAUUAUCAGCUUCGCGUUCCGCUCCGUAGGUCGAGAGCAACGCGUGCGCCUC